This 465-nucleotide ribosomal RNA is filed under the name uncultured bacterium. Its description in RNAcentral is "partial 16S ribosomal RNA". It matches the Rfam family "Bacterial small subunit ribosomal RNA", at positions 338 to 795 of the family's 1533-position model. The record is from RNAcentral.
CCUACGGGGCGCAGCAGUGGGGAAUUUUGGACAAUGGGCGCAAGCCUGAUCCAGCUAUUCCGCGUGUGGGAUGACGGCCCUCGGGUUGUAAACCACUUUAGUAGAGAACGAAAAGGAGCUAUCGAAUAAAUCGCUCUGCUGACGCUACUCUAAGAAUAACCACCGGCUAACUACGUGCCAGCAGCCGCGGUAAUACGUAGGGUGCGAGCGUUAAUCGGAAUUUCUGGGCGUAAAGGGUGUGCAGGCGGCUGAGUAAGACAGAGGUGAAAUCCCCGGGCUUAACCUGGGAACCGCAUAUGUGACUGGAGGGCUAGAGUGCGUCAGAGGGAGGUGGAAUUCAAGGUGUAGCAGUGAAAUGCGUAGAUAUGUGGAAGAACACCGAUGGCGAAGGCAGCCUCCUGGGACGCAACUGACGCUGAUACACGAAAGCGUGGGGAGCAAACAGGAUUAGAUACCCCUGUAGUC